This 926-nucleotide ribosomal RNA is filed under the name uncultured bacterium. RNAcentral's name for it is "bacterial SSU rRNA". It matches the Rfam family "Bacterial small subunit ribosomal RNA", at positions 8 to 916 of the family's 1533-position model. The record is from RNAcentral.
AGAGUUUGAUCAUGGCUCAGGACGAACGCUGGCGGCGUGCCUAAUACAUGCAAGUAGAACGCUGAAGAAAGGAGCUUGCUUCUUUUGGAUGAGUUGCGAACGGGUGAGUAACGCGUAGGUAACCUGCCUUGUAGCGGGGGAUAACUAUUGGAAACGAUAGCUAAUACCGCAUAACAGCUUUUGACACAUGUUAGAAACUUGAAAGAUGCAAUUGCAUCACUACGAGAUGGACCUGCGUUGUAUUAGCUAGUAGGUAGGGUAACGGCCUACCUAGGCGACGAUACAUAGCCGACCUGAGAGGGUGAUCGGCCACACUGGGACUGAGACACGGCCCAGACUCCUACGGGAGGCAGCAGUAGGGAAUCUUCGGCAAUGGGGGCAACCCUGACCGAGCAACGCCGCGUGAGUGAAGAAGGUUUUCGGAUCGUAAAGCUCUGUUGUAAGAGAAGAACGUGUGUGAGAGUGGAAAGUUCACACAGUGACGGUAACUUACCAGAAAGGGACGGCUAACUACGUGCCAGCAGCCGCGGUAAUACGUAGGUCCCGAGCGUUGUCCGGAUUUAUUGGGCGUAAAGCGAGCGCAGGCGGUUUAAUAAGUCUGAAGUUAAAGGCAGUGGCUUAACCAUUGUUCGCUUUGGAAACUGUUAAACUUGAGUGCAGAAGGGGAGAGUGGAAUUCCAUGUGUAGCGGUGAAAUGCGUAGAUAUAUGGAGGAACACCGGUGGCGAAAGCGGCUCUCUGGUCUGUAACUGACGCUGACGCUCGAAAGCGUGGGGAGCAAACAGGAUUAGAUACCCUGGUAGUCCACGCCGUAAACGAUGAGUGCUAGGUGUUAGGCCCUUUCCGGGGCUUAGUGCCGCAGCUAACGCAUUAAGCACUCCGCCUGGGGAGUACGACCGCAAAGUUUAAACUCAAAGGAAUUGACGG